AAAGCUUUGCUUCAUCGUUAAACAAUCAGAGUUAGUCUUUAUGUUGAAGGUAGGAGCCGAUGACCUGAUUUGACACUGCUCUACCUACACUUGGCUAGUUACUAAAAUUAAAAAUCAAUUAGCAUUAAGGUAUUGGCUUGUUUUAGUGCUCAAAAUUGAGGUUCAGACUUAAAGUGAUUCAUAAACUCCUAUCCCCGCAGUAUCCAUCUCAGAGACGACAGCACCCAUGGCCCUCUGGAAACCAGUAGUUGUGGUGUUGCUGGCCUGGGUGUCCUGGCAACGGGGAGCUACGGAGGACCUCCGCAGUUUCAAGGAUCAGCUCAGCGACUGUCUGGAGGACAAGGACUACCAGGAGCUUCUGGACAUCAGUAUCCAUGGCCUCCCCCCUGCACAGACCCCUCGGCACGUGGUGGUCGUGGGCGCCGGCAUGGCCGGCCUGACCGCUGCCAAACUGCUGCAGGACGCGGGACACCAGGUGACGUUGCUGGAGGCUAGCGGGAGGGUGGGGGGGAGGGUGGAGACCUACAGACACCCGACAGACGACUGGUAUUCUGAACUGGGAUCCAUGAGGAUCCCCAGCUCCCACCAUAUUGUGCUGUUUUACGCUAAGAUGCUGGGUGUGGAACUGCGUCCAUUUGUGAUGUAUGACCCCAACACCUUCUACCUGGUCAAUGGGCAGCGUGUGAAGACCGGGGCAGCAGACAAAAACCCCGCCCUCCUCAAAUACAACCUCCCCCAUAGGGGGAAGGCCCUGUCGGCUGAUCAGCUGCUGGAUCAGGCCUUGAAGACGGUGAAAGACACAGUGAGACAUGAAGGAUGUGAGGCUGCCCUUAAGAAAUAUGACCAGUAUUCGGUCAAGGGUUAUUUGGUUCAAGUGGCUAACCUGAGUCCUGAGGAGAUAAGGAUGAUAGGAGACCUGCUGAAUGAGAACAGCCUGAUGUACACUGCCCUGACCGAGAUGCUCUACGAUCAAUCAGAUAUCAACGACCAAACUGAGUAUUUCGAGGUGGUGGAUGGCUCAGAUCGUCUCCCUCAAGCCUUGAAUAACGUCCUUGUUAACCCCGCCCAGCUAAAUUCUCCGGUCAAACAAAUCAACCACUCGGACACUGGCGUCGAUGUAUUUUACCUGAAGGGUAAAGACUCAGUUCAGACCAAGCUGUCUGCUGACGCAGUCCUGGUCACGACCACAGCCAAGGCAGCUUGCUUCAUAGAAUUUGACCCCCCACUAACCCCAGGAAAGAGGCAUGCACUGAGCAGCGUUCACUACGACAGCUCCACCAAGAUCAUCCUCACCUUCAGCCGAAGGUUCUGGGAGGAUGAUGGCAUCAAGGGGGGGAAGAGCAUCACAGACCGCCCCUCUCGCUUCAUCUACUACCCCAGCCACGGCUUCCCCCAGAACCCAGACAUCGGCGUGCUGCUGGCCUCCUACACCUGGUCUGACGAAGCUCUGCUCUUCCAGGGCCUGGGGGAUGAGGAGCUGAAGGAGGUGGCCCUGAAGGACCUGGAGCUAAUCCACGGGGAGCAGGUCUGGGACCUGUGCACGGGGGUGGUGGUAAAGAAGUGGAGCUCUGACCCCUACAGCCUGGGAGCCUUCGCCAUGUUCACUCCCUACCAGCAUACUGAAAUCGCCUCUGAGCUCUUCCAGGCCCAGGGCAGGGUUCACUUCGCUGGGGAACACACCGGCUUCAGUCACGCCUGGAUUGAAACAGCCAUGAAGACGGCCAUCAGAGCUGCCAAGAACAUCAACCACCAGCUUCAAGGCGGCUUCAUAUCCACUGAUAGAGAAGAGCUCUGACUCCAACACCAAGCUUCAAGACAGCUUCAUGUCUGCCGCUAGAGGAGAUCUCAAACUCUAACACCCCAGCAUUAUUUUGUUAUUAAUCACAUAUAUUGAAGCCUGAGAAGAUAGUACCUUCAUGCUAGCAGUACUAGCUCUUUAUUUGCAUGUGUAAGCCUUGAGAACAAAUCUAAAACUAAAUUGGUGUCUGCUAUGAACUCUAAAGGUAAUGAUAAUCUGAGACUGCAGCCUACAUGCAUGCAAUAUCCUAGCUAUGCACCCAUUACAUCACCUUUCCAAGUACUGUUACUUAACAUAAGACACAGCCCAUCUGGCAAUCUAAAUAUUGCACAUUUCCAUGAAACAUACAGACGACUAUUAGACAAAUGUUGUCCUUUGUGAUUAUCAAAAUUAAAAACUUUAACCAAAAUUACCAAAAAUGCCAAAAAUAUUGGCUUGUAUUAGUAUCUCAUCGAAUGCGAUGUCCAAAUCACGAGUACUCGUUUUUUGUUUGCACUCUUUUUUUCGUUGCACAAGGAAUUUCUGCGUCAGUUUCCGCCAAUGUACGCAGACUAAGGUCAUUUCAAGCUUCCUUUAAUAAAGAAUGAAUGAACAGAAUGGAUGUUUAAUGAAUAACUACAUCUGGAUAUUGAUUUACCUUGUGUGACCCUGUGUGACCGUUGAUACUAGAGCAGUACAUUAUCCUUCUUAAUCCUUUUUUCUUCCCUUUCAAUCACGAGUUGUAACCUUCUGGGGUUGAGGUCAGGGUUUUGGGAAGGCCAUUCUGAAAGCUAGAUAUCAGCUUGAGCCAUUCUUAAAGCACUAGGAUGUGUAAUGUAAUGGUCCUGCCAAAGUUUCCCAUCACAGGUCUAUUUUCCUGUCCAAACCUCCCAUCAUUCUGUUACUCAUCACAUGCCAUGACAUACAUGGCCUUUAAGAGUGUCCACUGUGGACCUCAAUUGGACACGCCUGUCACCAAUAACAAUGCACCACCUCGAUGACUUCUACCCAGAUGUAGAUAUAUGCACCAUAUUAUAAUAAUAUUUUGGGCAGCUACUAGUCUAACCACCAGAAGGCUGUGACUGGGCAGCUCCCAGUAAAACCAGUAGAAUAAUGAGGUUGGUUCCCUGGUGCUAUUUUGCAGUUUCAGAAAACAAUUCCACCAAAAACCAGGAAAUACCUGGUCUAAAGUUAUUUUAAGGGCGCAUGCAUAAUGUUCCUUACGCUCCUCACGCAUACACUUCGCUUCUCUCAUCUACCUAGCCACACAUUCUUGGUAAAUUAUUUGGGAAAGAACAGCUGAUACAGCGGUAAUAAGUUGUACUUUUAAAUCCAUGCAUCUGCAAACACCGUACAGCAAACACAUUUUUUCUUGACACAGACAUCAUGUACAAGCCCAUAACUUUAAGAAUUGAUGAGUAUUUGAUCGUGAGAAAACAUUGCUUUACCGCGAUUGAGUGUUAAAAGAAUGAAUGAAUGUGUGUAGGCCUAUGUGUAAAAUAAUUAAUGAAUGCAGGCGCGCGUGUGCGCGUCCAUCUGUUUAAACACACACAAACUAAACACGUAACACAUAAUACAGUCCAUGGCAAUGUAUAUUAACGGGGGGACACAUAACGAUAACGUUAUGUGUCCCCCCGUUAAGUCGAUAACGAUAAUGCAUACAAUACUGGUAAGAAACGAUGUUUGUUAAUGUAUUGCGUAUAUCAUUAUAUAGAACCACAGUUGCCGCAUAUCAUAUGUGUGUUAAGUUUUCUUUGCUGAAAUUUAUUUGAGGACUGAGUAUUUCUGAAGUUGUGAAAGAAAUGUUAUUCCAUGUGUGAAUUAGGCCAUUUUAUUUGGCCAUAAACUGAGCCAUUUGAAGUUUGAAAUUGAUAUGGUCAUGCAUCUGUCUCAUCAGAGACUGCAAACGCGCUGUCAAAAUAUCAACUGGAAUAGUAGCAGCUGAAGUAUCAGUAGUAGCUGAAGUAUAAGCAGUAGUAGCUGAAGUAGUAUAAGCUGUAGACUGGGCAUUCGAAGAGACUCAGCUAGGCUGCAUUUAGAUUGUUACAUUUGGAUGAAACACUCACGCAAUUCCUAUUCAAGAAUGAGGAAGCCUCAACUUGAAAUGCCGGCCUUAAUCACAUGAAUGAAAGGGGAAGAGAAAUUCUUGAGACUGAACUGGCUCGCCGGGUCACACGUCCAAAUUACGAUUGAGAUUUAGUAAUUUACCAAAAAUACCUUGACUUUAGUCACGCUUGAGUGCAGAUGAGGUCUGUCUACUGGCAGGUCCCGGUAUAACCAGUAGAAGACUGGUUGAACUGGGCAGCUCCCAGUGCAGCCAGUAGAAGAAUAUUAAAGAAAAUUGUGAUAAUUGUGAUGAAAAGAUUCCCAAAACUUUUCCCCGCCCAACUCCUUUUCACUUACCAACAUAUUAGGUGUGAUUACACCAGCCAGCUUGCACAGGUGAAGACGGUUGGUUUACAAAAAUCACCAUACAUUUUGUUACAAAAAACAAAAAAUACCUCUUCUACGUGACAAAGGGGUUAGUUAUUUGACUUCUUGUCCAGGUGCACAGAUUGGAGGGAUGGCCUGAUUUGACAAUAUCU
RNA transcript from Gadus chalcogrammus (walleye pollock), 4362 nucleotides. It is a transcript of the gene named L-amino-acid oxidase-like, with no coding region annotated. The record is from RefSeq and is a predicted model, not a curated record. The transcript is spliced from 8 exons. Lineage: Eukaryota; Metazoa; Chordata; Actinopteri; Gadiformes; Gadidae.